AGCAGCCGCCGCGGUAAAACGUAGGGUGCAAGCGUUAAUCGGAAUUACUGGGCGUAAAGCGUGCGCAGGCGGUUAUAUAAGACAGAUGUGAAAUCCCCGGGCUCAACCUGGGAACUGCAUUUGUGACUGUAUAGCUAGAGUACGGCAGAGGGGGGUAGAAUUCCACGUGUAGCAGUGAAAUGCGUAGAGAUGUGGAGGAAUACCGAUGGCGAAGGCAGCCCCCUGGGCCAAUACUGACGCUCAUGCACGAAAGCGUGGGGAGCAAACAGGAUUAGAUACCCCAGUAGUCCCUGUCUCUUAUAC
RNAcentral lists this ribosomal RNA (303 nucleotides) under uncultured bacterium. RNAcentral describes it as "partial 16S ribosomal RNA". It matches the Rfam family "Bacterial small subunit ribosomal RNA", at positions 507 to 807 of the family's 1533-position model. The record is from RNAcentral.